Molecule: unclassified non-coding RNA, 345 nt
Filed under: soil metagenome
Description: partial contains 5.8S ribosomal RNA, internal transcribed spacer 2, and large subunit ribosomal RNA
Rfam family: 5.8S ribosomal RNA (bases 1-120)
Source: RNAcentral
GAUGAAGAACGUAGCGAAAUGCGAUACGUAAUGUGAAUUGCAGAAUUCAGUGAAUCAUCGAGUCUUUGAACGCACAUUGCGCCCCCUGGUAUUCCGGGGGGCAUGCCUGUCCGAGCGUCAUUGCUGACCUCAAGCACGGCUUGUGUGUUGGGCCUCCGUCCUCCUCCCGGGGGACGGGCCCGAAAGGCAGCGGCGGCACCGCGUCCGGUCCUCGAGCGUAUGGGGCUUCGUCACCCGCUCUUGUAGGCCCGGCCGGCGCCAGCCGACAACCCAUCAUCCUUUUCAGGUUGACCUCGGAUCAGGUAGGGAUACCCGCUGAACUUAAGCAUAUCAAUAAGCGGAGGA